Molecule: ribosomal RNA, 555 nt
Filed under: uncultured Halalkalicoccus sp.
Lineage: Archaea; Methanobacteriati; Methanobacteriota; Halobacteria; Halobacteriales; Halalkalicoccaceae
Description: bacterial SSU rRNA
Rfam family: Archaeal small subunit ribosomal RNA
Source: RNAcentral
ACGGGGAGCAGCAGGCGCGAAACCUUUACACUGCACGAACGUGCGAUAAGGGGACUCCAAGUGCGAGGGCAUACAGUCCUCGCCUUUCCCUACCGUAAGGUGGUAGGUGAAUAAGAGCUGGGCAAGACCGGUGCCAGCCGCCGCGGUAAUACCGGCAGCUCGAGUGAUGGCCAAUAUUAUUGGGCCUAAAGCGUCCGUAGCUGGCCGAACAGGUCCGUCGGGAAAUCCGCUCGCUCAACGAGCGGACGUCCGGCGGAAACCAGUCGGCUUGGGACCGGAAGACCCGAGGGGUACGGCCGGGGUAGGAGUGAAAUCCUGUAAUCCUGGCCGGACCACCGGUGGCGAAAGCGCCUCGGGAGGACGGAUCCGACAGUGAGGGACGAAAGCUUGGGUCACGAACCGGAUUAGAUACCCGGGUAGUCCAAGCUGUAAACGAUGCUCGCUAGGUGUGGCACUGGCUACGAGCCAGUGCUGUGCCGUAGGGAAGCCGAGAAGCGAGCCGCCUGGGAAGUACGUCCGCAAGGAUGAAACUUAAAGGAAUUGGCGGGGGAGCAC